Acanthosepion pharaonis is the source of this 98-nucleotide non-coding RNA. The record is from the annotation of a GenBank genome assembly. Lineage: Eukaryota; Metazoa; Mollusca; Cephalopoda; Sepiida; Sepiidae.
GUUGAAAUACCUGUUCCCGUACGAUCACCGAAGUUAAGCUAUGUCGAGCCUGAUCAAAACCUAGAUAGGUGACCGCUUGGAAGUACCAGGUUUUGUAA